Molecule: ribosomal RNA, 390 nt
Filed under: uncultured bacterium
Lineage: Bacteria
Description: bacterial SSU rRNA
Rfam family: Bacterial small subunit ribosomal RNA
Source: RNAcentral
GACGAACGCUGGCGGCGUGCUUAACACAUGCAAGUCGAGCGGUAAGGCCCUUUCGGGGGUACGACGAGCGGCGAACGGGUGAGUAACACGUGGGUGACCUGCCCUCAGCUCUGGGAUAAGCCUGGGAAACCGGGUCUAAUACUGGAUAUGACUCCAUGACGCAUGUUGUGGGGUGGAAAGCCUUGUGCGGCUGAGGAUGGGCCCGCGGCCUAUCAGCUUGUUGGUGGGGUGAUGGCCUACCAAGGCGACGACGGGUAGCCGGCCUGAGAGGGCGACCGGCCGACACUGGGACUGAGACACGGCCCAGACUCCUACGGGAGGCAGCAGUGGGGAAUCUUGCGCAAUGGGCGAAAGCCUGACGCAGCGACGCCGCGUGAGGGAUGACGGCCU